UACGAGGGGGGCAAGCGUUGUUCGGAAUUAUUGGGCGUAAAGGGUGCGUAGGUGGUUCGGCAAGUCUUGUGUGAAAUCUUCAGGCUCAACUUGAAGUCUGCACAAGAAACUGCCGGGCUUGAGUAUGGGAGAGGUGAGUGGAAUUUCCGGUGUAGCGGUGAAAUGCGUAGAUAUUGGGAGGAACACCAGUGGCGAAGGCGGCUACCUGGACCGGUUCUGACGCUGAUGCGCGAAAGCGUGGGUAGCAAACAGG
This 253-nucleotide ribosomal RNA is filed under the name uncultured prokaryote. RNAcentral's name for it is "partial 16S ribosomal RNA". It matches the Rfam family "Bacterial small subunit ribosomal RNA", at positions 524 to 776 of the family's 1533-position model. The record is from RNAcentral.